Molecule: long non-coding RNA, 790 nt
Organism: Oreochromis aureus
Lineage: Eukaryota; Metazoa; Chordata; Actinopteri; Cichliformes; Cichlidae
Source: Ensembl
CAAACCUGGAGAAGCGCCAGCUCAAGAUAUUAUUGUUGUCAUUGCUGUGGAUCUUUACCUGAUACACUGACUUGGCUCGGGACCAGCACUCCUGUUGUUGGACAGAAAGACAUCAACUCAGUGACUUGAGAUAUGACUGCACUAUGCUGUUGCUGGUGACCACAGUUAAUUCUACAAGACAUGCUGUGUAAGUGAACAAACAACAACAGUUUGGUCUGCAUUUCUUGAAAGAUCACAUCCCCCAAACUUAGUUUAGAGGGUCUACACUGUAUAUAGUGAAGUCUGCAAGUUUUCUAACAGCAAAAUCUGUUUUGUGCCCAAAAUCAUUUUGCACAUCAUUAGAAUGAAAGUUAUUGGCCAUGUUUGCAUAGCCCUUUUUUAAAAUGAUGCUUUCAUGACAUUAUUGUGUGUUGGGUGGUGGUCAGGGUUAUCCAGACUGACAAUUUGGGACAUUGAAUGUCACCUCUCCGGUGGGGAGGGAGCCUGAGAUCGUCUAAAUUGGAGUCUGUUUUAUACCAAAUGCAGAAAAAAAUGUUUUAAGAAAGCAAUUAAGUUCAUGUUCCAAAAAAUAUGAUUGUUUGCUUGCAGGACACCAGGAGAGAUGAGUCCUCCGUCACAGAUGGUGUGGUCAGUGAAGAUGGUCGCCUGCAGGUUCAAGCUCAUUGCAUCUCCAACCCACAUCCACUGCCAGUGUACUUAAGGGAAGUUAAAGACUUUCUUCUGCACCUACAUUUGGAUCACCUCGAUCCAUGACAGUCAUUCAGGCAGUAAUGCCUGGACUGGAAACAAG